Long non-coding RNA from Oryzias melastigma (Indian medaka), 403 nucleotides. RefSeq lists it as uncharacterized. NCBI's taxonomy places the organism in Eukaryota, Metazoa, Chordata, Actinopteri, Beloniformes, Adrianichthyidae. The record is from RefSeq and is a predicted model, not a curated record. The transcript has 2 exons.
UCAUGGUGCCUCUGUCAGUCUCCUCCCCCUCUCCACUCUCCUCUCCUCUCCACCUGGCUGCUGAUCAUCCCCAGCUGCAACCACUCAUCUCGUCCCCUCACCUGCCUACUUAAGGAGCUCCAGGACCUUCAUUCCCCGCCAGUCCGUUGCCCCUGAUGGAAUCUCCUACCUCGAGUGGUUGCAUGUUUUUCCCCACUUCCGGAUCUCCAGUCGGGUCUCCUUCCACGGUCACACCACGAGCCUCUGCCUCUGCUUCACGUUCCUGUGUCCAAGACGGCCAUCUCCCUCUUGGAGGACAAGAUCGCCUACUACGCCUCCAACCUCUGCCUCCUGCUCGGAGCCUGCUUCCUGUCCUGUUCAGGACCCAACCUUCUCACCACAUUAUUAAAAUUAUUGCCUUCCA